RNAcentral lists this ribosomal RNA (405 nucleotides) under uncultured bacterium. RNAcentral's name for it is "partial 16S ribosomal RNA". It matches the Rfam family "Bacterial small subunit ribosomal RNA", at positions 30 to 526 of the family's 1533-position model. The record is from RNAcentral.
AUUGAACGCUGGCGGCAGGCUUAACACAUGCAAGUCGAACGAGUGGCGUACGGGUGAGUAAUGCCUGGGAAUCUAGCUUAUGGAUGGGGAUAACUACGGGAAACUGUAGCUAAUACCGCGUCCCAUAGUAUGAGCCCAAGUGGGAUUCGGUAGUUGGCGAGGUAAAGGCUCACCAAGCCGACGAUCUCUAGCUGGUCUGAGAGGAUGACCAGCCACACUGGAACUGAGACACGGCCAAGACGCCUACGGGAGGCAGCAGUGGGGAAUAUUGCGCAAUGGGGGCAACCUGACGCAGCGAUGCCGCGUGAAUGAAGAAGGACUUCGGGUUGUAAAGUUCUUUCGGUAGCGAGGCGUUAACUACAGAAGAAGCACCGGCUAACUCCGUGCCAGCCGCCGCGGUAAUAC